This is a long non-coding RNA of Oncorhynchus tshawytscha (Chinook salmon), 686 nucleotides long. The record is from Ensembl. Lineage: Eukaryota; Metazoa; Chordata; Actinopteri; Salmoniformes; Salmonidae.
CAUUUACAACUCAUUUCACAAACAAGACACAGAACUCAUUUUAACAGGACCGUGACAGCGAGACAUGAAUUUUUACAUCAUGCCAAAAAACAAAAACAAAUCAUUAAAGUCAUUUUGAAAUGUAUAUAAAUCCUUGUAUAGUUUAAACAUGACAUUUUCUGUUCUCUUUUUUUCUCUCCAUAUAUAAGCACAUAACUAUCUAUUUCAACCCAGGAUGUAAUUUGCAGUAGUAUCUGGACUGUUCAGGUCCAGUCAUCUCAUUUUACAAUAGGACAUCAUUCCUACACACUUAUUAUUUAUAAAGACAGGGACAUAAUCCACACACACACAUAUCAUUUUCAGAGAAUAACAGAACAUGUUUCGGGAGGGUGAAAAUUAUUCCAGUAAACUCUGCUCAUCCAUCUAUGGAUAUUGUACAUGACAGUAUCUGGGGGGUCCCAAAUGGAACCCUGGUCAAACUAAGUGCACUACUUAGUGAAUAGGGUUCCAUGGUCAAACUAAGUGUACUACUUAGUAAAUAGGGGUCCAUGGUCAAACUAAGUUGUACUACUUAGUGAAUAGGGGUCCAUGGUCAAACUAAGUGCACUACUUAGUGAAUAGGGGUCCAUGGUCAAACUAAGUGCACUACUUAGUGAAUAGGGGUCCAUGGUCAAACUAAGUGCACUACUUAGUGAAUAGGGGUCCAU